Molecule: small nuclear RNA, 319 nt
Filed under: Pteropus alecto (black flying fox)
Lineage: Eukaryota; Metazoa; Chordata; Mammalia; Chiroptera; Pteropodidae
Description: 7SK RNA
Rfam family: 7SK RNA
About the family: 7SK was discovered as an abundant small nuclear RNA in the mid-70s but a possible function has only recently been suggested. Two independent studies have found that 7SK RNA binds the CDK9/cyclin T complex (known as elongation factor P-TEFb).
Source: Rfam by way of RNAcentral
GGAUGUGAGGGCGAUCUGGCUGCGACAUCUGUCACCCCAUUGAUCGCCAGGGUUGAUUCAGCUGAUCUGGCUGGCUAGGCGGGUGUCCCCUUCCUCCCUCAGCACUCCAUGCGUGUCCCUCCCGAAGCUGUGCCCUCGGUGGAAGAGGACAACCUUCCCUGAUAGAGCUGAGGACCGGUCUUUGGUCAAGGGUAUAUAGCUGCGCUCCCCUGCUAGAACCUCCAAACAAGCUCUCAAGAAAGACUGACUUGGCAGUAUUCUUAUUAAGCCUAGUAUAUCAGUCUAAGGACACACUGAGAUAAGAAAACAUUCUUUAGCU